GACUAACACAUGCAUCCAUUAUGAUCCGUCUCUGUUGCUCAUCCGGACGUUUGAUCAAAUUAAACAAUGUGUGGGUUAAGGAAUCCCGUGUGGUACUAUCUGGAUGACGCUCUAUUGCACACAUCAUUAGGGGAAGAAGCUCCUCCCGAUGAUUGAUCAAAACAUGGGGUACAAUCUUGGGCAAGGCAUCUGCAAGGAUUUGAAUUGUUUCUAAACCCAUGUUUCCUGAAGCAGCUUCAACAUUUAAAUUGUCCAAUUCCAUGUAUGGCCCACCAUCUUCCGAGGGUGGUUCAUCAUUUUGUUUAA
RNAcentral lists this unclassified non-coding RNA (306 nucleotides) under Hevea brasiliensis (rubber tree). Lineage: Eukaryota; Viridiplantae; Streptophyta; Magnoliopsida; Malpighiales; Euphorbiaceae. The record is from RNAcentral.